UGCAAAACAAAGCCAAAAAAGAAUUGAGUGCUCUAACAAGGAAGUAUCAAGAGGGAUGGCUCCUUCAACUGAAGCUUCACUUGCAAACUCAGAAGUUAGACCAAUCAAUGGAACUGUGAAGGUGGAAUCUUCUCAGGUUGUUGAUGCCACUUUGGAUCUUGAAACCAACGUCGACAAAGGUCUCUGCACUUUUGAUCUGAAUCUAGAGGUUUGUUCAGAUGAUAUGGAUAGUCCAGGAA
Molecule: unclassified non-coding RNA, 239 nt
Filed under: Hevea brasiliensis (rubber tree)
Lineage: Eukaryota; Viridiplantae; Streptophyta; Magnoliopsida; Malpighiales; Euphorbiaceae
Source: RNAcentral